GUAGGUGGCAAGCGUUGUCCGGAAUUAUUGGGCGUAAAGCGCGCGCAGGCGGUCCUUUAAGUCUGAUGUGAAAGCCCACGGCUCAACCGUGGAGGGUCAUUGGAAACUGGGGGACUUGAGUACAGAAGAGGAAAGCGGAAUUCCAAGUGUAGCGGUGAAAUGCGUAGAGAUUUGGAGGAACACCAGUGGCGAAGGCGGCUUUCUGGUCUGUAACUGACGCUGAGGCGCGAAAGCGUGGGGAGCAAACAGGAUUAGAUACCCUGGUAGUCCACGCCGUAAACGAUGAGUGCUAAGUGUUAGGGGGUUUCCCGCCCCCUUAGUGCUGCAGCUAACGUAUUAAGCACUCCGCCUGGGGGAGUAUGGCCCGCAAGGCUG
RNAcentral lists this ribosomal RNA (375 nucleotides) under uncultured organism. RNAcentral's name for it is "partial 16S ribosomal RNA". It matches the Rfam family "Bacterial small subunit ribosomal RNA", at positions 527 to 896 of the family's 1533-position model. The record is from RNAcentral.